UGGAUUUUUGGAACUAGGAGUUG
RNAcentral lists this non-coding RNA (23 nucleotides) under Cricetulus griseus (Chinese hamster). Lineage: Eukaryota; Metazoa; Chordata; Mammalia; Rodentia; Cricetidae. The record is from RNAcentral.